AGCUGAAAUAUAUAAACACACUAAAAACUGAAAAAGAUUUAAAUUCCUAUAUCAACAUAUAUCAAAUUCCACAUAGUUUCAGAUUGUUACAAUGGAAGCAGCGCGAACUACUUUGAGAAAAGUGAGUCAUGUUCAUCAAUUUCCAAAUAAAUAAGCAAUAAUCCUUUUCCAUAAUUGAUUAGUUUCAUAACUUUCAAUAAUCCUUUUCCAUAUUUCUUCUUCUAGAUUAGUUCUUUCUAGAGUGGAUGCUACACUUUGAGGCGACCUGUUUUCAUGAAAAUCAUUUCAGGGAGGUGGCUAAGUC
This 304-nucleotide long non-coding RNA is filed under the name Malus domestica (apple). Its description in RNAcentral is "long non-coding RNA (MDOM_LNC005141)". The record is from RNAcentral. Lineage: Eukaryota; Viridiplantae; Streptophyta; Magnoliopsida; Rosales; Rosaceae.